UCCUCUCUAGCUUAAGCAAAGCGUUAGUUUGAAGAGCUAAAGUUACAUUUAUCUGUGGGAGGAG
This 64-nucleotide transfer RNA is filed under the name Echinostomatidae sp. CA-2021. Its description in RNAcentral is "tRNA-Phe". The record is from RNAcentral. Lineage: Eukaryota; Metazoa; Platyhelminthes; Trematoda; Plagiorchiida; Echinostomatidae.